This 1737-nucleotide long non-coding RNA is filed under the name Homo sapiens (human). RNAcentral's name for it is "HSALNT0027745". Lineage: Eukaryota; Metazoa; Chordata; Mammalia; Primates; Hominidae. The record is from RNAcentral.
AAUGAAUGAUUUUUGUUUGCCUUGUGAAUGAACUACCAAAAAAGAAGAUAACAAGAAACAAAUUGUUUGGAAAGUUAAGUCUUCUGUCUUAAUGAGUAAAGGUUUUUGCCUUGUUUUAAAAUAUUUGAGUCAUAUUUUGGCUAAAUAAAAAACUUAAGGUAAUCUGGAGUUCUAUUUAAUAAUAUGAAGUGUUUAAAUCUCUAAAAUAUUUAACAGGCUUCUACAAAUUAAACUUCAGCUUCAAAAGUUGUGUUUUUUCUGACCCCUAAACUUUUGAAUGCUACAGAGGCCCCUGGAGCAUCCAAAAGAGAGGUGAACAGGGCUAUUUCACAUGCUGAGUUACAUGGGAUUGCCAAAAUAAAAAUAAGGUUUAAUCUUCUUCAAGUUAUAUUUUAGUGAGUAUUAAUAUAUGUUUCAAAAUUUUAUGGCAUUUAUAAAAUUCUAAUGUCUGUGUAUAUGCUACCAAUCAUAAUAAAGGAUAUAAUGUUAAGUUAUUGUAAAUCGCAGAUACAACCUAAUUUCUUUGUCAAUCAUGUUUUUGACUGUAACUCCUCUGGACAUUUUGUAACUCACAGACAAUUGCUGUCUUGCUUGAUCCUUUACAAAAGAUGGUUUAUAAUCAGCUCUAGGACUUCAGCAGGUGCUGUCAAAUGCAGGUUUCUGAUAACUUUGGAUGUUGUGAUAAUGGCAUAGAGGAAAAAUGUACAGGACUCAUGAAGAGCUGUGAUGUUCAUGAAUAUCAAGCAGAGCAAAAAGUCAAGGAAAAUUUGAGCUAUCUGCAACUUUUAAAAAUUGAGUAAAGUAUAUUCCUGUGAAUAAAAUUUGAAGGUAGUUGUUUCUCCUUACCUGGUUUCUCCAGAAUUUGGAAACUAUUUGCCAUCAAACUCCAAAUGUUCAUGCAACUGGAGCCUCAUAUUAUGGCUGCCAUUUACCAGAGACCCUUAGAUAGGCAUAUGAGAGAGAUCUGACUGCUCUCUUUCCAAAACAGCUUACCUGUCAGCAGAAAGCAGAUAAGAGUGAUCACCAUCCUUUUCCUAAGGGCAGUGUACCUCUUGAUAGGGGAAAAUUAAUAGUGGCAGGAGACAGACAAAUGCCUAGGCAGAUAGGGGCACUUCCCUGGUAAAACCCUACCUUCAAGCCAAAAACAGCCUGAAGACUGAAAAACCAGACUGCUGGUUCCUGAUGAAAAACACAACCUGGAGUGAGAAAUUCUGUUUCUGUUUUCCUGCCCUUUUCCAUUUGGUUAUUUCUGAAUUAUACUUUUUAAUCAAUUGAAUGUUGCUUUUUCCAAGACUACCUAUGGCCUGCCCCACCCCCAUCCUGUGCCUACAAAAACUCCAGACUCAGCCAUCCUGGGGGAGAAACGACCUGAUUGCAGGAGUGGGGGACCACUCCUGUGUGCCCUCUCCCCGAGAGCUGUUCCGUUGCUCAAUAAAAUUAUUAUAGCAUGGUACUGGUACCAAAAUAGACAUACAGAUCAAUGGAACAGAACUGAGCCCUCAGAAAUAACGCCGCAUAUCUACAACUAUCUGAUCUUUGACAAACCUGAGAAAAACAAGCAAUGGGGAAAGGAUUCCCUAUUUAAUAAAUGGUGCUGGGAAAACUGGCUAGCCAUAUGUAGAAAGCUGAAACUGGAUCCCUUCCUUACACCUCAUACAAAAAUUAAUUCAAGAUGGAUUAAAGACUUAAACAUUAGACCUAAAACCAUAAAAACCCUAGAAGAAAACCUAGGCAUUA